GACGAACGCUGGCGGCGUGCUUAACACAUGCCAGUCGAACGGAAAGGCCCUGCUUUUGUGGGGUGCUCGAGUGGCGAACGGGUGAGUAACACGUGAGUAACCUGCCCUUGACUUUGGGAUAACUUCAGGAAACUGGGGCUAAUACCGGAUAGGAGCUCCUGCUGCAUGGUGGGGGUUGGAAAGUUUCGGCGGCUGGGGAUGGACUCGCGGCUUAUCAGCUUGUUGGUGGGGUAGUGGCUUACCAAGGCUUUGACGGGUAGCCGGCCUGAGAGGGUGACCGGCCAAAUUGGGAAUGAGAUACGGCCCAGACUCCUACGGGAGGCAGCAGGGGGGAAUAUUGCACAAUGGGCGGAAGCCUGAUGCAGCAACGCCGCGUGCGGGAUGACGGCCUUCGGGUUGUAAACCGCUUUCGCCUGUGACGAAGCGUGAGUGACGGUAAUGGGUAAAGAAGCACCGGCUAACUACGUG
RNAcentral lists this ribosomal RNA (468 nucleotides) under uncultured bacterium. RNAcentral's name for it is "partial 16S ribosomal RNA". It matches the Rfam family "Bacterial small subunit ribosomal RNA", at positions 28 to 507 of the family's 1533-position model. The record is from RNAcentral.